GUUUCCGUAGUGUAGCGGUUAUCACGUGAGUCUAACACACUCAAGGUCCCGGUUCGAGCCCGGGCGGAAACA
This 72-nucleotide transfer RNA is filed under the name Lytechinus variegatus (green sea urchin). RNAcentral's name for it is "tRNA-Val". It matches the Rfam family "tRNA". Rfam says of the family: Transfer RNA (tRNA) molecules are approximately 80 nucleotides in length. Their secondary structure includes four short double-helical elements and three loops (D, anti-codon, and T loops). The record is from RNAcentral. Lineage: Eukaryota; Metazoa; Echinodermata; Echinoidea; Temnopleuroida; Toxopneustidae.